AUAUUAAUAAGCGGAGGAAAAGAAACUAACCAGGAUUCCCUCAGUAGCGGCGAGCGAAGCGGGAACAGCUCAAAUUUGAAAUCUGGCUUCCUCGAUUCGGGAAGCCCGAAUUGUAGUUUUGUGAAGGCGAGUCACUGGCGGAGGGGCGGCGUAGAAAUCUCUCUGGAACGAGGUGUCACAGAGGGUGAGAGCCCCGUACGUGACGCGGCCCUUGCUCCGUCGACACGUGUCUCUCCUUCGAAGAGUCGGGCUGUUUGGGAAUGCAGCCCUAAACGGGAGGUAAAUUUCUUCUAAAGCUAAAUACGGGCGAGAGACCGAUAGCGAACAAGUACCGUGAGG
RNAcentral lists this ribosomal RNA (339 nucleotides) under uncultured yeast. RNAcentral describes it as "partial large subunit ribosomal RNA". It matches the Rfam family "Eukaryotic large subunit ribosomal RNA", at positions 40 to 358 of the family's 3401-position model. Lineage: Eukaryota; Fungi. The record is from RNAcentral.